Molecule: ribosomal RNA, 497 nt
Filed under: uncultured bacterium
Lineage: Bacteria
Description: partial 16S ribosomal RNA
Rfam family: Bacterial small subunit ribosomal RNA
Source: RNAcentral
GAUGAACGCUGGCGGCGUGCCUAAUACAUGCAAGUCGAGCGAACAGACGAGGAUCUUGCUCCUUCGACGUUAGCGGCGGACGGGUGAGUAACACGUAGGUAACCUACCUAUAAGACUGGGAUAACUUCGGGAAACCGGAGCUAAUACCGGAUAAUAUUUCGAACCGCAUGGUUCGAUAGUGAAAGAUGGCUUUGCUAUCACUUAUAGAUGGACCUGCGCCGUAUUAGCUAGUUGGUAAGGUAACGGCUUACCAAGGCAACGAUACGUAGCCGACCUGAGAGGGUGAUCGGCCACACUGGAACUGAGACACGGUCCAGACUCCUACGGGAGGCAGCAGUAGGGAAUCUUCCGCAAUGGGCGAAAGCCUGACGGAGCAACGCCGCGUGAGUGAUGAAGGUCUUCGGAUCGUAAAACUCUGUUAUUAGGGAAGAACAAACGUGUAAGUAGCUGUGCACGUCUUGACGGUACCUAAUCAGAAAGCCACGGCUAACUACGUG